RNAcentral lists this ribosomal RNA (394 nucleotides) under uncultured bacterium. Its description in RNAcentral is "bacterial SSU rRNA". It matches the Rfam family "Bacterial small subunit ribosomal RNA", at positions 975 to 1375 of the family's 1533-position model. The record is from RNAcentral.
CUGGUCUUGACAUGUCGAGAACUUUCCAGAGAUGGAUUGGUGCCUUCGGGAACUCGAACACAGGUGCUGCAUGGCUGUCGUCAGCUCGUGUCGUGAGAUGUUGGGUUAAGUCCCGCAACGAGCGCAACCCUUGUCAUUAGUUGCUACGCAAGAGCACUCUAAUGAGACUGCCGGUGACAAACCGGAGGAAGGUGGGGAUGACGUCAAGUCCUCAUGGCCCUUAUGGGUAGGGCUUCACACGUCAUACAAUGGUACAUACAGAGGGCCGCCAACCCGCGAGGGGGAGCUAAUCCCAGAAAGUGUAUCGUAGUCCGGAUUGUAGUCUGCAACUCGACUACAUGAAGUUGGAAUCGCUAGUAAUCGCGGAUCAGCAUGUCGCGGUGAAUACGUUCCC